MicroRNA precursor from Bison bison bison, 88 nucleotides. The record is from Ensembl. Lineage: Eukaryota; Metazoa; Chordata; Mammalia; Artiodactyla; Bovidae.
CUGAGGGUCUCAGCAUUUAUUUCGCAGUUUCUCCUCUCCGUGAGCGUCUGCCAGGCUCACGGAGAGGAGAAACUGCACCUGGCCCCAA